This 435-nucleotide ribosomal RNA is filed under the name uncultured bacterium. RNAcentral describes it as "partial 16S ribosomal RNA". It matches the Rfam family "Bacterial small subunit ribosomal RNA", at positions 29 to 507 of the family's 1533-position model. The record is from RNAcentral.
AACGAACGCUGGCGGUAGGCUUAACACAUGCAAGUCGAACGCAUGCCUUCGGGCAUGAGUGGCAGACGGGUGAGUAACGCGUGGGAACCUACCCCUUGGUACGGGAUAGCUCCGGGAAACUGGAGAUAAUACCGUAUGUGUCCUGAGGGACAAAGAUUCAUCGCCAAGGGAUGGGCCCGCGUCGGAUUAGCUAGUUGGUGGGGUAACGGCCUACCAAGGCGACGAUCCGUAGCUGGUCUAAGAGGAUGAUCAGCCACAUUGGGACUGAGACACGGCCCAAACUCCUACGGGAGGCAGCAGUGGGGAAUAUUGGACAAUGGGCGCAAGCCUGAUCCAGCCAUGCCGCGUGAGUGAUGAAGGCCCUAGGGUUGUAAAGCUCUUUCACCGGUGACGAUAAUGACGGUAACCGGAGAAGAAGCCCCGGCUAACUUCGUG